Non-coding RNA from Callithrix jacchus (white-tufted-ear marmoset), 2900 nucleotides. NCBI's taxonomy places the organism in Eukaryota, Metazoa, Chordata, Mammalia, Primates, Cebidae. The record is from RefSeq and is a predicted model, not a curated record.
AUUUAUUAUUGCCUCAAUUUCAGAAGUUGUUGUUCUAUUCAGGGAUUCAACUUCUUCCUGUUUCAGUCUUGGAAGGGUGUAUAUGUCCAGGAAUUUACCCAUUUCUUCUAGACUUUCUAGUUAUUUGCACAGAUGUGUGUAUAGUAUUCUUUGAUUGUUAUUUGUAUUUCUGUGGAGUCAGUGGUGAUGUCCCCUUUAUCAUUUUUUAUUGUGUCUAUUUGAUUAUUUUCUAUUUUCUUAGAGGAAGUCAAAUUGUCUUUGUUUGCAGAGGACAUGAUCCUACAUCUAAAAAACCCUUCAUCUCAGCCCCAAAGCUUCUUAAGGUGAUAAGCAACUUGAGCAAAGUCUCAGGAUACAAAAUCAAUGUGCAAAAUUCACAAGCAUUCCUAUAUACCACCAAUAGACAGGCAGAGAGGCAAAUCAUGAAUGAACUCCCAUUCACAACUGUUACAAAGAGAAUAAAAUUCCUAGGAAUACAGCUCACAAGGGAAGUGGCAGGAGCGCCCAGUCCCUGCGUGCACACGGCAGCCGGCAUGGCACACUACAACUUCAAGAAAAUUACGGUGGUGCCGUCUGCCAAGGACUUUAUUGACUUGAAGUUGUCAAAGACUCAACAGAAGACUCCAGCUGUUACUCAUAAACAUUGCCAAAUUCAUCGCAUUGGACAUUUUUACAUGAGAAAAGUCAAAUUUGCUCAACAGAAUUACCAUGAUAGACUUUCGCAAAUUCUAACAGAUUUCCCUAAGUUGGAUGACAUUCAUCUGUUCUAUGCUGAUUUGAUGAAUAUUCUCUACAACAAGAUCACUACAAUUUGGCUCUGGGGCAAAUAAAUGUUGCCAAAAAUUUAGUGGACAAUGUUGCUAAAGAUGACUUUGGCUGAUGAAGUACAGCGACCCCCGACUCCCUCUACGCAAGCAGCUGAAGUGUGCAGCCCCAGGGCGGAUGUGCACCAUGAUCAAGAGGCAGAAGCAGAGUUUGGAGUAUUUGGAGCAAGUGCAUCAGCAUUUAUCCCCUUUGCCACAACCAUUGAUCCAAAUACCAGGACUCUGCUUUUGGGUGGGUAUCCAAAUGUUGGGAAGUCCAGCUUCAUCAAUAAGGUGACAAGAGCAGAUGUGGAUGUCUGACCCUCUGCGUUCAUAAUCAAGUCUCUGUUUGUUGGGCACAUGGAUUCUAACUGUCUACACUGGCAGACUGUAGAUGCUCCUGGGAUCCUGGACCAUCCUCUGGAGGACAGGAACACCAUUGCGAUGCAGAUCACUGCCCUUGCCCAUCUCCGUGCUGCAGUCCCGUACGUGAUGGAUUUGUCUGAGCAGUGUAGGCACGGGCUGAGGGAGCAGCUAGAACUCUUCCAGAACAUCAGACCUCUCCUCAUCAACAAGACUCUUAUAGUUGUAGCCAACAAGUGUGAUGUGAAAAGAAUAGCCAAACUUUCUGAAGACGAUCAGAAAAUAUUUACAGAUUUGCAGGCUGAAGGAUUCCCUGUAAUAAAGACCAGAAUCCUGACUGAGGAAGGUGUUAUUAAAGUUAAAACAAAGGCUUGCGAUAGACUUUUGGCUCAUCGAGUGGAAACCAAAAUGAAGGGAAAUAAAGUGAAUGAAGCGCUGAAUAGACUGCACCUGGCUGUCCCAACCAGGAGGAACGAUAAGCAGAGGCCCCCUUUGAUCCCCGAAGGAGUGGUGGCACGCAGAAAGAGGAUGGAAAUGGAGGAGCCCAAGAAGAAGAGGAAAUGAGAUCUUGAGCUGGAAAUUGGAGGUGAUUAAAUUUUGGGUCUUCAGAAGUACUGGGAUUUAAUGAAUUCGUCUGAAAAACAUGAUAAGAUACCAGAAAUCUGGGAAGGCCAUAAUAUAGCUGAUUAUAUUGAUCCAGCCAUCAUGAAGAAAUGGGAAGAAUUAGAAAAAGGAGAAGGACUGAGAACAGCUGCCAGAGAGUAUGACAGUGACUCAGAGUGAAGAUGAGGAGAUGCUGGAAAUCUGACAGCAGGCAAAGCAGAUUAGAGAGAAAAAGAAGUUGAAAAUUCUGGAGUCCAAAGAAAAGAAUACACAGGGACCCAGGAUGCCUCGAACUGCUAAGAAGCUUCAGAGAACAGUUUUGGAGAAUGAGUCACGUAGUCUUGGUGUUGACAUUGACAAUAAAGACAACGCCCACUACGCAGUCCAGGCAAGACGAUCCCGGAGCGUCACUAGGAAAAGAAAGGGGAAGACUCUGCUCCCGCCUCCUCUGUGGCCCAGAGUUGGAGUUGCCCUCGAACUCCAAGUGAGGUUUCUGGUCUUUGGGAUGUCAAGAUGGUGGAGAAAGCCAAGACUAUGAUGAAGAAUGCUCAGAAGAAGAUGAAUCGAUUAGGGAAGAAAGGGGAGGCGGAUGGACAUGUGUUUGAUAUGAAGCCCAAGCACUUACUCUCCGGAGAGAGGAAAGCUGGCAGAAAGGACAGGAGAUAGGGUCCCUGCCAUUGGCGUGGCUCGGCGAGGCUGUUGCUGUUUAUUUGCUGACUUGGUACAGUAGGGUUUCAUGAAAUUGGAGCUAUCUGUAAACUGAAAAAGACAAAAUCAGUAAAGCACUUGUUGCUUUGCUGAAAACUAUGGUUAACCCUAUAUAGAUGUGGGAAAUGUUUGUCACUGCAUAAUAUUACAAAUAUUUUGAGCAGACAAUGUUCUACAUUUAAUGGAGUAUCUACCAAUCGCUUCAGAUUUUCAGAACUGGGAAGAUUUACUGGUGUAACUGGGUUAUUUUUGGGAGAAAAACCUUAUUUUCUUUAGUAAGAGCUUGGGAGCAAACACGUUUAUGAGUGUGUCAGUAUCCCAUGCUUAAAAUACCCCCUUAAAUUAUUUUCUAGUCUUUUUGUACAAUGUCUCAUUGUAAUCUGUCUUCAACUAUUUUAUCCAAAAUAAACCUCCAGAAGAAAG